GCCCAAGUGGUGGAAUUGGUAGACACGCUAGCUUGAGGGGCUAGUGGGGGCGACCCCGUGUCGGUUCGAGUCCGGCCUUGGGCACCA
This 87-nucleotide transfer RNA is filed under the name Candidatus Tectomicrobia bacterium RIFCSPLOWO2_02_FULL_70_19. RNAcentral's name for it is "tRNA-Leu". It matches the Rfam family "tRNA". Rfam says of the family: Transfer RNA (tRNA) molecules are approximately 80 nucleotides in length. Lineage: Bacteria; Pseudomonadati; Candidatus Tectimicrobiota. RNAcentral also lists the same sequence under 2 other names. The record is from RNAcentral.